UGGGGAAUAUUGCACAAUGGACGGAAGUCUGAUGCAGCGACGCCGCGUGGGGGAUGAAGGCUUUCGGGUUGUAAACUCCUUUCAGUACAGAAGAAGCUUUAUUGUGACGGUAUGUGCAGAAGAAGCGCCGGCUAACUACGUGCCAGCAGCCGCGGUAAUACGUAGGGCGCGAGCGUUGUCCGGAAUUAUUGGGCGUAAAGAGCUCGUAGGCGGUUUGUCGCGUCUGCUGUGAAAGACCGGGGCUUAACUCCGGGGCUGCAGUGGGUACGGGCAGGCUGGAGUGCGGUAGGGGUAACCGGAAUUCCUGGUGUAGCGGUGGAAUGCGCAGAUAUCAGGGGGAACACCGAUGGCGAAGGCAGGUUACUGGGCCGUUACUGACGCUGAGGAGCGAAAGCAUGGGGAGCGAACAGG
RNAcentral lists this ribosomal RNA (411 nucleotides) under Verrucomicrobiota bacterium. Its description in RNAcentral is "Verrucomicrobia bacterium partial 16S ribosomal RNA". It matches the Rfam family "Bacterial small subunit ribosomal RNA", at positions 355 to 776 of the family's 1533-position model. Lineage: Bacteria; Pseudomonadati; Verrucomicrobiota. The record is from RNAcentral.